UAAGGAAUAUUGGUCAAUGCCCGGAAGGGUGAACCAGCCAUCCCGCGUGAAGGAUGAAGGGGCUCUGCCUUGUAAACUUCUUUUGAAUGGGACGAAAAAGCCUCACUUGUGAGGAACUGACGGUACCAUUAGAAUAAGCACCGGCUAACUCCGUGCCAGCAGCCGCGGUAAUACGGAGGGUGCGAGCGUUAUCCGGAAUCACUGGGUUUAAAGGGUGCGUAGGCGGCUGUAUAAGUUAGUGGUGAAAGGCUGUGGCUUAACCAUGGGAUUGCCAUUGAUACUGUACGGCUUGAAUUAGGAUGAGGUUGGCGGAAUGUGACAUGUAGCGGUGAAAUGCUUAGAUAUGUCAUGGAACAUCGAUUGCGAAGGCAGCUGACUGGACCUUAAUUGACGCUGAGGCACGAAAGCGUGGGGAGCGAACAGGAUUAGAUACCCCUGUAGUCCCUGAGCGGGCUGGCAAGGCGCAU
RNAcentral lists this ribosomal RNA (467 nucleotides) under uncultured bacterium. RNAcentral describes it as "bacterial SSU rRNA". It matches the Rfam family "Bacterial small subunit ribosomal RNA", at positions 355 to 825 of the family's 1533-position model. The record is from RNAcentral.